UACGAGUGCCCUCAAGCGUUAUCCGGAAUCACUGGGCGUAAAGGGUGCGUAGGCGGAAUGAUAAGUCAGUGGUGAAAGCCUGCAGCUUAACUGCAGAACUGCCAUUGAUACUGUCAAUCUUGAGUACAUUUGAUGUGGGCGGAAUGUGUCAUGUAGCGGUGAAAUGCUUAGAUAUGACACAGAACACCGAUUGCGAAGGCAGCUCACAAAACUGUAACUGACGCUGAGGCACGAAAGCGUGGGUAUCAAACAGGAUUAGAAA
RNAcentral lists this ribosomal RNA (262 nucleotides) under uncultured bacterium. Its description in RNAcentral is "partial 16S ribosomal RNA". It matches the Rfam family "Bacterial small subunit ribosomal RNA", at positions 524 to 784 of the family's 1533-position model. The record is from RNAcentral.